This 439-nucleotide ribosomal RNA is filed under the name uncultured bacterium. RNAcentral's name for it is "partial 16S ribosomal RNA". It matches the Rfam family "Bacterial small subunit ribosomal RNA", at positions 339 to 795 of the family's 1533-position model. The record is from RNAcentral.
CUACGGGGGGCUGCAGUGGGGAAUAUUGCACAAUGGGCGCAAGCCUGAUGCAGCAACGCCGCGUGAACGAAGAAGGUCUUCGGAUCGUAAAGUUCUUUUCUUAGGGAAGAAAAAUGACGGUACCUAAGGAAUAAGCACCGGCUAAAUACGUGCCAGCAGCCGCGGUAAUACGUAUGGUGCAAGCGUUAUCCGGAAUCACUGGGCGUAAAGGGAGCGUAGGCGGUUUUGCAAGUCAGAAGUGAAAGGCUACGGCUCAACCGUGGUAAGCUUUUGAAACUGUAAGACUAGAGUGCAGGAGAGGCAAGUGGAAUUCCUAGUGUAGAGGUGAAAUUCGUAGAUAUUAGGAGGAACACCAGUGGCGAAGGCGACUUGCUGGACUGUAACUGACGCUGAGGCUCGAAAGCGUGGGGAGCGAACAGGAUUAGAUACCCCUGUAGUC